AUGCCAGGUACAGAUGGAAAACCAGGUUUUCCUGGCAUUGCUGGACAUCCUGGAGAUGUGGGUCCAAAAGGGGAGAAGGGUGACCCAGGACCUCAGGGCAAACCAGGACAGGAUGGGACCAGUAUUGUGGGACCUCCUGGACCACCAGGACCACCAGGACCAAUCAUAGCAAUACCUGAGGUAAGCAUGUUUGUUGAGCAUUAAAGUCUCUGUAAUUCAUCUGACAGAGAAGAGGGAACAAGUGGUUAACAAACUGUCAAUUCUGCUGCUGA
Molecule: long non-coding RNA, 272 nt
Filed under: Athene cunicularia (burrowing owl)
Lineage: Eukaryota; Metazoa; Chordata; Aves; Strigiformes; Strigidae
Description: lncRNA (ENSACUG00000008144.1)
Source: RNAcentral